RNA transcript from Mastomys coucha (southern multimammate mouse), 2325 nucleotides. It is a transcript of the gene named von Willebrand factor C domain containing 2, with no coding region annotated. The transcript has 5 exons. The record is from RefSeq and is a predicted model, not a curated record. Lineage: Eukaryota; Metazoa; Chordata; Mammalia; Rodentia; Muridae.
GGGCGGAGCGCGCAGGUCGGACUGGGCUCUCCGCGGUCCGCCCUGCGCUGGUGCCCGGCCGGUACCAGGAUGGGCUCUGGAGUCCCAGAGCCGCGCCCGCUAGAGCCCGGCGUCCCUCCUGCGUCCUGAGCUCAUGGACAGCGACUCCAAGCUGGCUGCGGCGCGCCCCCGGGCUGUGAAUGCGACUCGCUCAUCGUCCGCGCUCCCCGCCCGCCCGCCCGCCGGGACGAGGUAGGGGAUGCCUAGCUCCUCUGCGAUGGCAGUUGGCGCGCUCUCCAGUUCCCUCUUGGUCACCUGCUGCCUGAUGGUGGCUCUGUGCAGUCCGAGCAUCCCGCUGGAGAAGCUGGCCCAAGCUCCUGAGCAACCGGGCCAGGAGAAGCGCGAGCACGCGUCUCGGGACAGCCCGGGGAGGGUGAGCGAGCUCGGGCGCGCCUCGAGGGACGAGGGCAGCAGUGCCCGGGACUGGAAGAGCAAGGGCAGCCGCACGCUCUCGGGCCGAGAGGCGUGGAGCAAGCAGAAGCAGGCCUGGGCUGCCCAGGGCGGGAGUGCCAAGGCCGCGGACUGGCAGGUCCGGCUUCGCGGGGAUACCCCUCAGGGGGAGCCCCCAGCCGCCGCCCAGGAAGCGAUCAGCCUGGAACUCGUGCCCACACCGGAGCUGCCCGAGGAAUACGCCUACCCGGACUACCGCGGGAAGGGCUGCGUGGACGAGAGUGGCUUCGUGUAUGCGAUAGGGGAGAAGUUCGCCCCAGGUCCCUCAGCCUGCCCGUGUCUGUGUACGGAGGAGGGGCCCCUUUGCGCACAGCCAGAGUGCCCGCGGCUUCACCCGCGCUGCAUCCACGUCGACACCAGCCAGUGCUGCCCACAGUGCAAGGAGAGGAAGAACUACUGUGAGUUCCGGGGCAAGACCUACCAGACUUUGGAGGAGUUCGUGGUGUCUCCAUGUGAACGGUGUCGCUGUGAAGCCAAUGGUGAAGUGCUGUGCACAGUGUCGGCGUGUCCCCAGACGGAAUGUGUGGACCCCGUGUAUGAGCCUGAUCAGUGCUGCCCGAUCUGCAAAAACGGUCCAAACUGCUUUGCAGAAACCGCUGUUAUCCCAGCUGGUAGAGAGGUGAAGACUGACGAGUGCACCAUAUGUCACUGUACUUAUGAGGAGGGCACAUGGAGAAUUGAACGGCAAGCCAUGUGCACAAGACAUGAGUGCAGGCAAAUGUAGACUUCACAAUACAGAAACUCUCAUGUUUUUCUAGAAUAUUUUACUAAUGUGACAUUCUAGAUGACUCUGAGAAAUAUCAAUCAAAAACAGAAGACUUUGGAUAAGGAGUCAAGGAAAAUGGUUGGUACUUUUGUUUUUCUUGGUAACAAUUACAGCAAGAGACAGAAAUGGAUGUAUUUCAAAACAUCAAUAAGAACUUUGGGCAUACUCCCUCUAAAUAAAUGUGCUAUUUUCACAACAAUGACCUCUAGAAAGGAGACAGCAACAUCAAAGUGCUUUCCUCGCACUCCCAAGAAGCACAGAAGGGAAUGGACAGCACCAUGCUCUCCGAACUCAGCUGCACAGUCCUGACACUUGUCAGUUAAGAGUCACUCCUCCCAAAAGUGUUAAUCGCCUCCCUUUUCUACUUGCCACAUAUUUUGAUUUCUAAUUAAAUUGUAUUCAUGUCUUAUUAAAGUGGAUUUUCAAACAACAGUAGAUUUUUAUGGUUUUGUUUAUAAUUCUUGUACUGAGUUUAUAAAAUAUGGGCACAUAUAAUAACCCUUUCUGUACUGGUGACUUAAUUUUCCUGCUGUGGAAGAUACUUGACACAAACAGUAUAAAGGAUAAGAUAUUUAUCUUUGCUUACAGUUUUAGAUGUUUCAUCUCAUGGUUGCUUGGCUCCACGUAGCUCAGCAAUACAUUGUUGUAGUUGAAGCUUGUGGUUGGGUAGGUUCUCACCUCUGGCAGCAAAAAGAAAUGAAAGGGAGUAACCAGAAAUGAGGUAUAACAGUCACAAGCAUGCCCCAGGGAACAUACUUCUUCCCUCAGCCUUGCCUCUUAAAGAUUUCAUCAGCUUCCAAAAUAUGUCUAGGAAGCAUUCAUUGACCACGUGCCACAAAAUAGUCAACACAUGCGCCUGUGGGGGACAUUUCAUACUCAAAUAUUAAUGGACAUAUUAACAUAAAUUACCAUAUAUUAGCUAAUAAGGAAAACUAUCAUUUAUUAGAUGACAACUUAUGGAAAAUACUACAUUUUCAAUUCUAGUGUCUGCUAUCAUCAACUCUGCUUUAAGAAAAGCAUCAAGUUUCAGUGAUAUCACUGAGGUCAAAGCCCAGAAUAUGCACUAUACU